AACGCUGAAGCCGACAGCUUGCUGUUGGUGGAUGAGUGGCGAACGGGUGAGUAACACGUGAGUAACCUGCCCCUGAUUUCGGGAUAAGCCUGGGAAACUGGGUCUAAUACCGGAUACGACCACCUGACGCAUGUCGGGUGGUGGAAAGUUUUUCGAUCGGGGAUGGGCUCGCGGCCUAUCAGCUUGUUGGUGGGGUAAUGGCCUACCAAGGCGACGACGGGUAGCCGGCCUGAGAGGGCGACCGGCCACACUGGGACUGAGACACGGCCCAGACUCCUACGGGAGGCAGCAGUGGGGAAUAUUGCACAAUGGGGGAAACCCUGAUGCAGCGACGCAGCGUGCGGGAUGACGGCCUUCGGGUUGUAAACCGCUUUCAGCAGGGAAGAAGCGAAAGUGACGGUACCUGCAGAAGAAGUACCGGCUAACUACGUGCCAGCAGCCGCGGUAAUACGUAGGGUACGAGCGUUGUCCGGAAUUAUUGGGCGUAAAGAGCUCGUAGGUGGUUGGUCACGUCUGCUGUGGAAACGCAACGCUUAACGUUGCGCGUGCAGUGGGUACGGGCUGACUAGAGUGCAGUAGGGGAGUCUGGAAUUCCUGGUGUAGCGGUGAAAUGCGCAGAUAUCAGGAGGAACACCGGUGGCGAAGGCGGGACUCUGGGCUGUAACUGACACUGAGGAGCGAAAGCAUGGGGAGCGAACAGGAUUAGAUACCCUGGUAGUCCAUGCCGUAAACGUUGGGCACUAGGUGUGGGGGACAUUCCACG
This 763-nucleotide ribosomal RNA is filed under the name Brevibacterium epidermidis. RNAcentral's name for it is "bacterial SSU rRNA". It matches the Rfam family "Bacterial small subunit ribosomal RNA", at positions 65 to 845 of the family's 1533-position model. Lineage: Bacteria; Bacillati; Actinomycetota; Actinomycetes; Micrococcales; Brevibacteriaceae. The record is from RNAcentral.